This 652-nucleotide ribosomal RNA is filed under the name Streptomyces sp. NRRL S-1521. RNAcentral describes it as "bacterial LSU rRNA". It matches the Rfam family "Bacterial large subunit ribosomal RNA", at positions 1 to 585 of the family's 2925-position model. Lineage: Bacteria; Bacillati; Actinomycetota; Actinomycetes; Kitasatosporales; Streptomycetaceae. The record is from RNAcentral.
ACAGUGGACGCGAGCAUCUGUGGCCAAGUUUUUAAGGGCGCACGGUGGAUGCCUUGGCACCAGGAACCGAUGAAGGACGUGGGAGGCCACGAUAGUCCCCGGGGAGUCGUCAACCAGGCUUUGAUCCGGGGGUUUCCGAAUGGGGAAACCCGGCAGUCGUCAUGGGCUGUCACCCGCUGCUGAACACAUAGGCAGUGUGGAGGGAACGCGGGGAAGUGAAACAUCUCAGUACCCGCAGGAAGAGAAAACAACCGUGAUUCCGGGAGUAGUGGCGAGCGAAACCGGAUGAGGCCAAACCGUAUACGUGUGAGACCCGGCAGGGGUUGCGUGUGCGGGGUUGUGGGAUCUCUCUUUCACAGUCUGCCGGCUGUGAGACGAGUCAGAAACCGUUGAUGUAGGCGAAGGACAUGCGAAAGGUCCGGCGUAGAGGGUAAGACCCCCGUAGUCGAAACAUCAGCGGCUCGUUUGAGAGACACCCAAGUAGCACGGGGCCCGAGAAAUCCCGUGUGAAUCUGGCGGGACCACCCGUUAAGCCUAAAUAUUCCCUGGUGACCGAUAGCGGAUAGUACCGUGAGGGAAUGGUGAAAAGUACCGCGGGAGCGGAGUGAAAUAGUACCUGAAACCGUGUGCCUACAAGCCGUGGGAGCGUCGG